AGCACUGCGUGGGUAUGAUCCAGUCAGUUUGAUGUACUGAAGAUUGAAUAUUUAUAUUCUGGUGCUU
This 67-nucleotide transfer RNA is filed under the name Mytella strigata. Its description in RNAcentral is "Musculus strigatus tRNA-Ile". Lineage: Eukaryota; Metazoa; Mollusca; Bivalvia; Mytilida; Mytilidae. The record is from RNAcentral.